CAAGGAUGUUAGAUAAGCUUUUAUUUACUGUGACACUGUCUGAAGUAUUUGCGUCUGUUGUCUUCACCCACCAACACGUGCACUGACAUCUCUUAGCAGUUAGACUGGUCUACAGCGGAGUGAUAAUACUUUCAUUUUCUCAUAGCAAUUAAUUAAACACUACAUAAAGUGACAAUGUAUUGUGACUGUACUUGUUCAGUUAUGUUGUCAUUGUUGUAUGUUUGUUUUUGUUCUAGUGCACUCAAAACCAUCAAUCGUGUGACACUAACUUUCAACAGUGUUGCUCAAAUUCGGCAUGCGCGGAUAUUCCUAGUGUGGGUUUGAGAUGCAAGGACAAAGGGGACAUCUGCUGGAAAGGGGCUGUAGGUGUCAAGAAAUGUUACCGGACUUUUCGCCUUUUUGAUGGGAGAUAAUCAAACAGCGGCUUGAAUUGAUGAGGACUUCAAAGUGUUUCAGGGAUACAAGCUGUCACGACAACAGUUAAAUGUCUAAUGGAUUGUCCCAAAAAUAUCUGUAAUUAUUGUUCUACUGACGAUUGAUCAGUAAACUGAAAGUUAAUCUUUC
Molecule: long non-coding RNA, 564 nt
Organism: Pomacea canaliculata
Lineage: Eukaryota; Metazoa; Mollusca; Gastropoda; Architaenioglossa; Ampullariidae
Exons: 2
Source: RefSeq, a predicted model, not a curated record